RNAcentral lists this ribosomal RNA (344 nucleotides) under uncultured bacterium. Its description in RNAcentral is "bacterial SSU rRNA". It matches the Rfam family "Bacterial small subunit ribosomal RNA", at positions 917 to 1264 of the family's 1533-position model. The record is from RNAcentral.
GGGCCCGCACAAGCGGUGGAGCAUGUGGUUUAAUUCGAUGAUACGCGAGGAACCUUACCAGGGCUUAAAUGUAAGUUGCAUAGAUCAGAGAUGGUCUUUUCUUCGGACUACUUACAAGGUGCUGCAUGGUUGUCGUCAGCUCGUGCCGUGAGGUGUCAGGUUAAGUCCUAUAACGAGCGCAACCCCUGUCGUUAGUUACCAGCAAGUAAUGUUGGGUACUCUAGCGAGACUGCCGGUGCAAACCGUGAGGAAGGUGGGGAUGACGUCAAAUCAUCACGGCCCUUACGUCCUGGCUACACACGUGCUACAAUGGCCGGUACAGAGAGCAGCCACUACGCGAGUAG